AUUUACUGAUCAGGCUCCAUGAUUAAGAGGGAAGGUCAGUCAGGUGAGUAGGAUGUAGGUGAGGCAGGCACUAGUCUAGCAGGAGAUGGCCAGAGAGCAGGCCAACAGUCAUCCUGGCCUGACCAUACAUAUAAGGAAACAACAACAGUUUGAAUAUAUUGUGUUAAAUAAAAUAUAUUAUUAAAAUUAAUUUUAGGGAGUUCCUGCUGCGGUGCAGCAGAAACGAACCCGACUAGUAGCCGUGAGGAUGCAAGUUUGAUCCCUGGCCUUGCUCAGUGGGUUAAGGAUCCAGUGUUGCUGUGAGCUGUGGUGGAGGUUGCAGACAUGGCUGGAUCUGGAGUUGCUGUGGCUGUGGUGUAGGCCAGCGGCUGUAGCUCCGAUUGGACCCCUAGCCUGGGAACCUCCAUAUGCUGCAGGUGUGCCCCCCCCCAAAAAAGCAAAAAAAUAAAAUUAAUUUCACUUGUUCCUUUUUACCUUUUUAAAUAUGGCUACUAGAAAAUGUACAAUUACACACAGGGCUCACAUUCUAUUUCUAUUGGACAGGGCUAAUUUAACGGAGAGAUUCCUAGACCUGCUGGUCAUCUGAACCAUCCUAGAAGCUUUUCCUAAAGAGAGAUCCCAGGUCUCCCUUCUCUGCUAAUCCUGAUUGAGUAGGUCCUUAUGGGGGUGUCCUGUACUUUUAUAAUGCCUUCCAGGUUAUUCAAUGGCUAUGAUCAUCCCAGUUUGAAACAACAAUGGGAUGUCUCAAAUCCCAUUGUCUCUCAUGAAAUCCCCUGGCCCAAAAUUAUCCUAGGCUCCCUUCUAUUGCAGGGAUGGCCAAUACUCAAUAUGUAUCAGAAUCACAUGGACAGAUUUAAAAAAUAAAAAUUAACUUUCCAUCUUCAUGAUUUAGAUUCAAUUGAUCUGGGCAUUUUUUUUUUAAGCUCCCAGAUGGGUCCUCAAAUGCAGCAAAUAAUGGAAACCAUUGGUCUACCCAGCACUUACCACAUACAGUGCAGUUUUCCAUGCACUUCUCUGUCUCCUGCCAUAGACUGUGAGCUCCCUGAAGGCAUCGUCUUUGUCACCAUAUCUCUUAGGCCUACAGUAGUGACCUCAGGAGUGGCUGAAUGAACCCUUUAUGCUUUGACACUUUGGCCAUGGCUUCUCUGUCCUGGCUGGGCUCCAGUUUCUACUCUGGCUUUGAUGCUGCCUAUUCUUUGGCUCCAUGUCCUUUUUCUGAGCAGCUGGCAUUCCCAGCUUCCUGCCUCCCUCCAGCAGUAAGGAGUGGGCCACGCUGACUCCACUCCCCAAUGCCUCCACUAUCCUCACUACCACCUUUUAUACUAAAGGUGGAAGAAGAAGAAAGAGUGGAUGAAUAAGUUACCCUCUGUCACCUCCUCUGGCUUGAGCCCAAGUCCCAUUACUCAGCACACUAGGACAGAGAGCAGCCUGUCCAGUGCCCAGAGCACUGGGCCAGGGGGCAGAAGAUCUGUGUGGUCAGCCUAGUGCUACCACUAACUGCCUUAGGAGUGUAACACUUCCUUUCUUUUUUUUUUUUUUUUUAAUAUAUUUUUUUAUUUUCCCACUUGGGAAAAAAAAAAAAAAAAAGGCAAGUGGACAAAAAGCUCCAAAGAACACCAAGGAAUGGGGAUAGUGGUUUUAGCGAUUAUUCAGACUUGGGUCCCUGGGCCGAUGCCUUCAGAGCCUUCUCAGGACAGGUCAGAUCCUAGGUCACUACAUGUCUGGCUAAUGAGGACAGGCCGGCAGUCUUUCAGGUCUACAUUCAAGAGACAACAACAGCGUGGAAGGCUUUGAACAUCAUGAGUGUGUGCUAAUAUACAAAACUCUGGUUACUGAAGACAUGUAAGCGAUCAAGCACACGGCUCUCAAAUCAGCAUCUUCUUUGUGCAGCUGCACAGCUGCGGUUCAGCGCCACUGCGCAGCUGGUGUGCAGAGUGUGUUUCCUCGAAGCCCUUCUCACCUGGCUCAGAGCUGCUCACCCUUUGAGGUCCAGCUCAAGAGCAUCCUCUGUCUCAACACAGUUCCCACCAUUGUGCUUCUGGGCUUAUUUCUGUCUGUUCUGUAUGAUAAUUGUUUAUCUCUCCGGGCUCUUUGUGAGCAGGGACUAUAUCCUGCAUGUUCCCACAGUUCCUUUAAUGACAUUACAAAUGCCUUGGGAACCCUUGAAAGCUUAGAGUCACCACACUGCUGCCUCUUCUACGUGCAUGCCACCCUGACUACGUAAAAGCCUGGAAUUCCUUCCUCUCCCAGGCUUCUCAGAAAACUCUCUUCUUCCCCAUCUCCACUGACCCUAUCCUUAUUUAUUUCAUCAUUAUCUCUUUCUAGAAACAAAUGAAUAAUCUUCAAACAUCUCCUGCACCAAUGCAUGAUUUUUCUCCUCUUAAAAAGUCUAGGAUUUUUACAAAGUGGACAAGUGGUACCUAGGAUUGAUCCCCAAGGUAAACACCCAGGGCUCCACCUCCCUCCAAAGUUAUGCUUCAUAUCCUUUUUUCUCAAACCAGGAGAACAGCUCUCCCCAAAUCAGUCAUGAUGGAAACAGUGUUCUUCCUUUUUUGGCUUGUUAAUUUAUCCUUCCUAAUUGAACAAGACUGGAGAAUACCUCGGAACCCCUUGACUUUGACCCCGAGUAGGAACACAGACAACUGAGCUGCCUCAAGACUUCUAAAACAGAAUACAUCCAUAGUUGAAAAGACUCCCACAUACCUGAUAUUUCCACACCCCGAAGCCCUUUUGGGCACAUUGACCUCCAUCACAAACGAUAGAUAUUACGGUUCUCAUUUUACAAACACCACCACAGAGGCCAGAGCACUAGGGUGGCUUGUGUAGGAUCUUACAGAUGGUUAAUGGCAGAGAUCAGGAAAAAAAAAAUCAUGAAUUCCUGAGUUUAGGUAAGGCACACAUCUGAGAAAGCCUUUACUCCAUUACUCUGGAUGCGUGCCGAUUUUAAACUUUUAAGUCAUCACAUAUCUAUAUAUUUUCAACCUCUGUCUAUAGGCAGAAUGCGUUCGAGAGAUUUAUCGGACAGGCAAUCUAGAAAAGAUGACUGUUUUCAGAAGCUACUGCUCCCCAGUCCUCCGCAGGCAGAAAACCUUAAUUUGUCUUCCCAAAUUCACUCCACCUUCGAGAAUAGCUUUGUGGAUGGAAAAGCAAUAAAGACCAGACUCAGUCCAGCUGCAAAUGAUCAGCCUCUUCUCCCCAUCCUGGUAAUUUACAAGCGUCCCCCUAGGUCGGGCAGUUACUGACAGUGCCUAGUGAGCUUGGCUGAAUAACCUGGCCAGCUGGGGUGGGGGUGGGGGUGAAUGCUCUCCUACCCCAAUCCCCAUUUCUCAUUUAACUCUACUCAUUAGAGGAGGCUGUGGCACAAGCCAGGUUGACAUGUCAAUGAGUCACCAAGGAAAUGCAGAAAUUGACAGCUGAGGAAUCCCAGCCCCCAGCCUUCUCCACGACAGCAACCCUCAGAAAACAGGUUUCUCAACCUCCUCGCCAGGUCACUUAAAUGAGUAGUGACAUUUGAGUCCCUCAGAGUAAUUAAUUUCCUCUGUCUCCAAUAGCUCUUCAUACUUUUAAUGAAUUUUUACAAGUCUCAGAUCCUCCAGCCUUCCAGCUCCCUCUCCGGUCCCGUUGCUCCCCAAGGUCCCGUAACAAAUAGCUCCCACUCAUAUU
RNAcentral lists this long non-coding RNA (3663 nucleotides) under Sus scrofa (pig). RNAcentral describes it as "lncRNA (ENSSSCG00030017758.1)". Lineage: Eukaryota; Metazoa; Chordata; Mammalia; Artiodactyla; Suidae. The record is from RNAcentral.